GCAUGCAUGCAGAGUGAAACGUUGAAGGAUCAUUGGUGAUAUCUCGUAGGGUUGGUAUAAGCUUGGUGUCAACCGAUAUCGAACCAGUACUGGUAUCGAAAAUACCGGUACGGUCCUGUUCGGUAUCAGUCCAUGAAGGUAAAAAUCGACACUAAUACAGAAAACGCCAAAAGUUGGUGCCAAAUUGAUAUUGGAAAUCUUUUGUUUCGAGAAAUUCAGUGCUGCUACCUGGUACCAUUUGCUCAUCCCUGAUCAUGGUUGUCGUACGAAAAACGGGGUAGGCAUGAGCUCGGUGCCAACCGAUACAGAAUCGGUACUGAUACCGAAAAUACCGGUUACGGUACUGGUAUAUGAAGGUAAAAAACGGUAGUGAACCGGUACCAGGAAUGCCAAAAGUCGGUACCGAAUUGGUACUUAAGAUCUUUCGGUUCGGCAAAUUUGGUAACCCAGAACAAUUUGCUCAUCCCUGAUCACGGGUUUCAUACGAAUAACAUCGUUACCAUACAACUUUUUUGGUUGAUUUUCUUUCGGUUAUCUUUUAGUGUUUUUUUCUACAUUUUCUUUUUAUUUUUGUCAACAGUUCCGUUCGCAACACACUUGUAGUGAUUUCAAAACAUAUAUAAACACAGACUAAAUAAUAAAAGAAAUUC
Molecule: long non-coding RNA, 650 nt
Filed under: Helianthus annuus (common sunflower)
Lineage: Eukaryota; Viridiplantae; Streptophyta; Magnoliopsida; Asterales; Asteraceae
Description: sRNA HanXRQr2_Chr07g0288491
Source: RNAcentral